UGUGGUCGGCGGUGGUCUGCGAGCCAGUCUGCGCUGAGAGCUGCCGCCCUUCGACCCGCGCUGCGCUCUCGGCCCCUGCGGCCCCGCCCGCCGGCAGCGCCACGUCAUGCCGGGCGCUGCUACGCUAUAGUGCCCGGGCCGCCGCCCCCCGCUUGCCCGCCCGUCAGCCUGCCCGAAGCCUCGCCCACUGCCCAGAGCCAGAGGGAUGGUGGUAGUCACGGGGCGGGAGCCAGACAGCCGUCGCCCGGACUGUGCCAUGUCCAGCUACGACACCGAGGACGACUUUCUGGAGCCGGCCACCCCGACGGCCACGCAGGCGGGGCACGCGCUGCCCAUGCUGCCCCAGGAGGCCUGGCUGAGAGUGCUGGUGGUUCCUUCCCAGUUCCCUGAGGUUGUCCCGCUGAACAUUGGAGGGGCACACUUCACCACACGCCUGUCUACCCUGCGGCGCUGCGAAGACACCAUGCUGGCAGCCAUGUUCAGCGGGCGGCAUUACAUACCCACCGAUGCUGAGGGCCGGUACUUCAUUGACCGGGAUGGCACGCACUUUGGAGAUGUGCUGAAUUUCCUGCGCUCAGGGGACCUGCCGCCGCGGGAGCGUGUGCAGGCUGUGUACAAAGAAGCCCAGUAUUAUGCCAUUGGGCCUCUCCUGGAGCAGCUGGAAAACAUGCAGCCACUGAAGGGGGAGAAAGUACGCCAGGCAUUUCUGGGACUCAUGCCCUAUUACAAAGACCAUUUGGAGCGGAUUGUGGAGAUUGCCCGGCUGCGUGCAGUGCAGCGGAAGGCCCGCUUUGCCAAGCUCAAGGUCUGUGUCUUCAAGGAGGAGAUGCCCAUCACCCCCUAUGAGUGUCCGCUUCUCAACUCCCUGCGCUUUGAGCGGAGCGAGAGCGAUGGGCAGCUCUUUGAGCACCACUGUGAAGUGGAUGUGUCGUUUGGACCUUGGGAGGCUGUGGCUGAUGUUUAUGACCUGCUGCACUGCCUGGUCACAGACCUCUCGGCCCAGGGCCUCGUCGUGGACCACCAGUGCAUCGGGGUGUGUGACAAGCACCUCAUCAACCACUACUACUGCAAGCGCCCCAUCUAUGAGUUCAAGAUCACAUGGUGAGUUUGACAACUUUCUGGCUGAGUGUCCUCAUGAAGAUUCCUUCGGAGUCACUUCAUGAACAGCCCACAAAGCCUACAGGUCUGACCACCCCAGAUGUGCUGUGCAACCUGACCAUGUGAAGAGGUAUGCCUGGGGCCACAGCCCUUCUUCAGGUAUGCCUAGCACCAAGAGAGUAACUGAUGGGAGCUCUUCAUGUCAGGGCACAUUGUGUGCCUGGCUUGGGGCCCAUGGUCCUUGUAUUCUGGGUCUCUACCCUGCCUGUGUGUCCCUUUGUCUUCAUUUUGAAGAUGACUUCUUAGCUGGCUUUACUUUUCAUUUUCAUUUGUUUAACUUACAAGCAUGCUCCUUUAGCUUUUGUUUACUUACCUUUAACCUUCUAUCCUUUCAUUCCUUACCAUUUUGUUUUUCUUGUCAUGUAUUUCAGCUUUCUCUAUUUUUUAAACAUGAUUUUAAACUUUAUUUCUAAAAUAACAUUUUAAUAAAGUAAUGUAUGAACAGGAUGCCAGUGAAGGUAGUUCUUGUUCUAAACAAUAGUAAUUAUGUGCUUUUUUUUCUUCUUCAUUCAUUUCUACAGUGAUCUUAGUAGCCAUGAACAUUAGGCACCUUCUUUCUCCCUUAGACGAGUAUCUUCUAAAACCUCAGUAGAGGGAAAAACUGAAAGUGGCAUUAAAGCAUUAGAAAAGUAAUAUAUCUGGGUUAUCUACUAGAUCAAAUAGCCACACUUCUGCACACCAUCUGAGAUGUACCCACUAGUCUGACACACACACAUAGUAACAGUAAGUGCAGCCUUUGGAACAGGGCAGUUCUAUUCCUGCUAAGGACUUCUUCCCUCAGACAAUGGUUCUUUUUGAGGAGUGACAUGAUCUACAGAUCCUGGGAGUCCACAUCUCCAGCCACCUGAUGCCAGGUGGCAAGAGGACUGUUUUGCAUCAGGAAAAAAUCCAACACAAAGCCAAAGACUUAGAAUUGAACCAUCGAGAAGCACUCCGUAAGAGGGACGCAGAUCAGAUUAUGAAGCAUGUUUUCCAGCCUUUUGUGAUCUCAGUAGCAACCUGAUUCACCUUUCAACAAAUUAUGACUUUCAAAGGAUUCUCCUAAUGUGUUACAGGCUCUUAUUUUUUUACCUACAUCAUGUGAUCUUGGCAGGUGGCCCAGCUCCAAUAGAUCUUAGGAAUAGAUGUAUAGGUUCUUCUCUCAGUUAUUUAAUCAAGACAGAAUCCCAAAGAAUUUGGAGUUUGACCUCCAUUAAAAGAAGCUUUUAAGUUGAGAGUUUGGAGUUGAAGGAAUUUUUUUGUAAGGAAUUGGAGAGUAUCAUGAAUAGGCUUAACUCUCUGGAAUUGUAUCAACUUCUAUAAAUGCCUUUAUUAGUGUGUUUCUUAAAAUGAAACCCUAUCACCAGCUGCACCUUGGCUUCCUCUGCCCUGUGGGACAGCCCCUUGUGUGGGUGCAUGUGGGUGCUUACUGCCCCUACUCUCACCAUGUCAUCUCCACCUCCUCCCGCUGCCCAUGACUGUUUUGUUUUUGGCAUUUUAAGCCUGGUUGGUCACUUCUGGCCAUACCUCAUCUGGCAUCUGGUAGCCAGCCGCAGCUGUGCACUUUGCCUAGCUACCCACUUCUUACCUUUAGGCAGGUAGGUGCUUUGUGCACUGAGGUCCCUGCUUUCCAAUGCAGCUUUCUCAUCUGGCUUUCUAGGAUCUGAAGAGCAUUUUUAGCCCCUCUAAGCUCUGUAUCCAUCUCCACAGUAGCAGUGGAGAAGGCACACAGGACCCACUGAGAAGACAAGUUAGCUUCACCCUCCCCUGUCCCAAGAAGGGAGAACUGAAAUACCUUAAUUGGAAACCAAGUUCACCAAAAGCUUCCUAAUGAAACUAUGGACUUUCCUGUUGAGCUGACCACACAGAUCACUAUCAGCUGAAAUGAGGAUGGCAUUUGUCACUUGGUGCUCCCAGCAGUCAAAGCAAAAUGUAUCUGCCUCCAGAGAUUCAGUAAGUAUUCCACCAGUUGCCUAAUGUUAUUCUUCAAAAUGCUGCUCUAUUUGGAAACUCCCAUUGGUUCCAAGAGGCAGAACAUUGAAGAAUCCCCUCUGCAGUCACCUGCAGAAUAUAUUCCACCAUAUCCCCAGCUGGGCCUUGAGCCCAGAGGAUUC
Molecule: RNA transcript, 3251 nt
Organism: Manis javanica (Malayan pangolin)
Lineage: Eukaryota; Metazoa; Chordata; Mammalia; Pholidota; Manidae
Gene: KCTD7
Gene name: potassium channel tetramerization domain containing 7
Source: RefSeq, a predicted model, not a curated record